Molecule: ribosomal RNA, 253 nt
Filed under: uncultured bacterium
Lineage: Bacteria
Description: partial 16S ribosomal RNA
Rfam family: Bacterial small subunit ribosomal RNA
Source: RNAcentral
UACGUAGGGACCAAGCGUUGUUCGGAUUUACUGGGCGUAAAGGGCGCGUAGGCGGCAAUUCAAGUCAUCUGUGAAAUCUCCGGGCUUAACUCGGAACGGUCAGAUGAUACUGCUUUGCUCGAGUGCGGAAGGGGCAAUCGGAAUUCUUGGUGUAGCGGUGAAAUGCGUAGAUAUCAAGAGGAACACCUGAGGUGAAGACGGGUUGCUGGGCUGACACUGACGCUGAGGCGCGAAAGCGUGGGGAGCAAACGGG